AUUGAACGCUGGCGGCAUGCUUUACACAUGCAAGUCGAACGGUAACAGGCCGCAAGGUGCUGACGAGUGGCGCACGGGUGAGUAAUGCAUCGGAACGUGCCCAGUCGUGGGGGAUAACUACUCGAAAGAGUAGCUAAUACCGCAUACGAUCUAUGGAUGAAAGCGGGGGACCGUAAGGCCUCGCGCGAUUGGAGCGGCCGAUGUCAGAUUAGGUAGUUGGUGGGGUAAAGGCUCACCAAGCCAACGAUCUGUAGCUGGUCUGAGAGGACGACCAGCCACACUGGGACUGAGACACGGCCCAGACUCCUACGGGAGGCAGCAGUGGGGAAUUUUGGACAAUGGGCGCAAGCCUGAUCCAGCAAUGCCGCGUGCAGGAAGAAGGCCUUCGGGUUGUAAACUGCUUUUGUACGGAACGAAACGGCUCUGGUUAAUACCCGGGGCUAAUGACGGCACCGUAAGAAUAAGCACCGGCUAACUACGUG
This 482-nucleotide ribosomal RNA is filed under the name uncultured bacterium. Its description in RNAcentral is "partial 16S ribosomal RNA". It matches the Rfam family "Bacterial small subunit ribosomal RNA", at positions 30 to 507 of the family's 1533-position model. The record is from RNAcentral.